GGCAGUUCUUGGGUGACACCCCUGGAAUCUGGCUCCCUCCUCUCUGGUUCUGGGUGUGUCACCCAAGAAUCACC
Myotis lucifugus (little brown bat) is the source of this 74-nucleotide non-coding RNA. The record is from Rfam. Lineage: Eukaryota; Metazoa; Chordata; Mammalia; Chiroptera; Vespertilionidae.